Molecule: ribosomal RNA, 274 nt
Filed under: uncultured bacterium
Lineage: Bacteria
Description: partial 16S ribosomal RNA
Rfam family: Bacterial small subunit ribosomal RNA
Source: RNAcentral
AUACGUAGGGUGCGAGCGUUAAUCGGAAUUACUGGGCGUAAAGCGUGCGCAGGCGGUUUUGUAAGACAGGCGUGAAAUCCCCGGGCUCAACCUGGGAAUGGCGCUUGUGACUGCAAGGCUAGAGUGCGUCAGAGGGGGGUAGAAUUCCACGUGUAGCAGUGAAAUGCGUAGAGAUGUGGAGGAAUACCGAUGGCGAAGGCAGCCCCCUGGGACGAGACUGACGCUCAUGCACGAAAGCGUGGGGAGCAAACAGGAUUAGAAACCCCUGUAGUCC